AGGGCGUUUAGUUGCUGGGUAUAGACCCGAAACCAGGUGAUCUAUCCAUGAGCAGGUUGAAGGUUGGGUAACACUAACUGGAGGACCGAACCGACUAAUGUUGAAAAAUUAGCGGAUGACUUGUGGCUGGGGGUGAAAGGCCAAUCAAACCGGGAGAUAGCUGGUUCUCCCCGAAAGCUAUUUAGGUAGCGCCUCGUGAAUUCAUCUCCGGGGGUAGAGCACUGUUUCGGCAAGGGGGUCAUCCCGACUUACCAACCCGAUGCAAACUGCGAAUACCGGAGAAUGUUAUCACGGGAGACACACGGCGGGUGCUAACGUCCGUCGUGAAGAGGGAAACAACCCAGACCGCCAGCUAAGGUCCCAAAGUCAUGGUUAAGUGGGAAACGAUGUGGGAAGGCCCAGACAGCCAGGAUGUUGGCUUAGAAGCAGCCAUCAUUUAAAGAAAGCGUAAUAGCUCACUGGUCGAGUCGGCCUGCGCGGAAGAUGUAACGGGGCUAAACCAUGCACCGAAGCUGCGGCAGCGACGCUUAUGCGUUGUUGGGUAGGGGAGCGUUCUGUAAGCCUGCGAAGGUGUGCUGUGAGGCAUGCUGGAGGUAUCAGAAGUGCGAAUGCUGACAUAAGUAACGAUAAAGCGGGUGAAAAGCCCGCUCGCCGGAAGACCAAGGGUUCCUGUCCAACGUUAAUCGGGGCAGGGUGAGUCGACCCCUAAGGCGAGGCCGAAAGGCGUAGUCGAUGGGAAACAGGUUAAUAUUCCUGUACUUGGUGUUACUGCGAAGGGGGGACGGAGAAGGCUAUGUUGGCCGGGCGACGGUUGUCCCGGUUUAAGCGUGUAGGCUGGUUUUCCAGGCAAAUCCGGAAAAUCAAGGCUGAGGCGUGAUGACGAGGCACUACGGUGCUGAAGCAACAAAUGCCCUGCUUCCAGGAAAAGCCUCUAAGCAUCAGGUAACAUCAAAUCGUACCCCAAACCGACACAGGUGGUCAGGUAGAGAAUACCAAGGCGCUUGAGAGAACUCGGGUGAAGGAACUAGGCAAAAUGGUGCCGUAACUUCGGGAGAAGGCACGCUGAUAUGUAGGUGAAGCGACUUGCUCGUGGAGCUGAAAUCAGUCGAAGAUACCAGCUGGCUGCAACUGUUUAUUAAAAACACAGCACUGUGCAAACACGAAAGUGGACGUAUACGGUGUGACGCCUGCCCGGUGCCGGAAGGUUAAUUGAUGGGGUUAGCGCAAGCGAAGCUCUUGAUCGAAGCCCCGGUAAACGGCGGCCGUAACAAUAACGGUCCUAAGGUAGCGAAAUUCCUUGUCGGGUAAGUUCCGACCUGCACGAAUGGCGUAAUGAUGGCCAGGCUGUCUCCACCCGAGACUCAGUGAAAUUGAACUCGCUGUGAAGAUGCAGUGUACCCGCGGCAAGACGGAAAGACCCCGUGAACCUUUACUAUAGCUUGACACUGAACAUUGAGCCUUGAUGUGUAGGAUAGGU
Molecule: ribosomal RNA, 1477 nt
Filed under: Calligrapha philadelphica
Lineage: Eukaryota; Metazoa; Arthropoda; Insecta; Coleoptera; Chrysomelidae
Description: bacterial LSU rRNA
Rfam family: Bacterial large subunit ribosomal RNA
Source: RNAcentral